RNAcentral lists this ribosomal RNA (749 nucleotides) under uncultured bacterium. RNAcentral's name for it is "bacterial SSU rRNA". It matches the Rfam family "Bacterial small subunit ribosomal RNA", at positions 8 to 796 of the family's 1533-position model. The record is from RNAcentral.
AGAGUUUGAUCAUGGCUCAGGACGAACGCUGGCGGCGUGCCUAAUGCAUGCAAGUCGCACGCGCCGCCUUCGGGCGGUGAGUGGCGCACGGCUGAGGAUCACGUGGGAACAUGCCUCCUUGUGGGGGACAACAGCGCGAAAGCGCUGCUAAUCCCGCAUACGCUCGGCAACGAGGAAAGCCGUAAGGCGCAGGGAGAGUGGCCCGCGGCCCAUCAGGUCGUUGGUGGGGUAAUGGCCUACCAAGCCGAUGACGGGUAGCUGGUCUGUGAGGACAGACAGCCAGACUGGGACUGAGACACGGCCCAGACUCCUACGGGAGGCAGCAGCAAGGAAUUUUCGUCAAUGGGCGCAAGCCUGAACGAGCAACGCCGCGUGGAGGAUGACGGCCUUCGGGUUGUAAACUCCUUUUGGGGGGGACGAUAAUGACGGUACCCCUUGAAUAAGGCUCGGCUAACUCUGUGCCAGCAGCCGCGGUAAUACAGAGGAGCCAAGCGUUGUCCGGAUUGACUGGGCGUAAAGCGCACGCAGGCGGUUGGGCGCGUGGGGUGUGAAAUCUGGCCGCUUAACGCCAGGCGCCAUCCCAUACGGCACAACUGGAGGGCUGCAGAGGUCGAUGGAAUUGCCGGUGUAGUGGUGAAAUGCGUAGAGAUCGGCAGGAACACCCAGGGGGAAACCAGUCGACUGGGCAGCACCUGACGCUGAGGUGCGAGAGCGUGGGGAGCGAACCGGAUUAGAUACCCUAGUAGUCC